This 496-nucleotide long non-coding RNA is filed under the name Mus spicilegus (steppe mouse). RNAcentral describes it as "lncRNA (ENSMSIG00000025280.1)". The record is from RNAcentral. Lineage: Eukaryota; Metazoa; Chordata; Mammalia; Rodentia; Muridae.
UAGAACACUUUGAGUCUGCAUAGAACAUCCUGCAGGAGAAGGUGCCUGAUAAAUCCUACUGAGGUAUCAACAGAACAGACUAAAGGUUGUCACUUGAAGCCAUAGCUUUGUGGUCCCUGCGGAAGUGGAAGAGGCUCCAUUGAAGAUAUCCAUGAUCUGCGGACACAGAUGACAUUUGUAUUCAUGUCAUUACUCAGAGGACCACAUCCUUCGGCUUCCUUUUGGUGGGAUACAGUCUUCCAGAGGGGUCACUGGGACCCCUGCAGGAAUUAUGCUGCUCAAAAUCUCACUAAGGAGACAUUUCUAUUUUCAUUGCGUAUAAGGUUCAUUUUACAUGACUCGAAGGUGUCAGAAAGUGUCUACUGACAUCGGACACUGCGUCAACACUGCUUUUCUUGCCUCCAUUCGUCAUCAAAUUCUUUUACGAUAAAAACGUUUCACUUUCAUAAUAGUAAGUAGAAAUAAAUNNNNNNNNNNUCUCUCUCUCUCUCUCUCU